RNAcentral lists this ribosomal RNA (382 nucleotides) under uncultured archaeon. RNAcentral describes it as "bacterial SSU rRNA". It matches the Rfam family "Archaeal small subunit ribosomal RNA", at positions 345 to 727 of the family's 1478-position model. The record is from RNAcentral.
AAACUUUACAAUGCACGAAAGUGCGAUAAGGGGACCCCGAGUGUUGGUGCCUAGCAUCAACUGUCCAACUGUCUAAAAAACAGUUAUUAGCAAGAGCCGGGUAAGACCGGUGCCAGCCGCCGCGGUAACACCGGCGGCUCGAGUGGUGAUCACUAUUAUUGGGUCUAAAGGGUUCGUAGCCGGCUUAAUAAGUUCUUUGGGAAAUCUGGCGGCUUAACCGUCAGGCUGCCGAGGGAUACUGUUAGGCUUGAGACCGGGAGGGGCUAGAGGUACUUCAGGGGUAGGGGUGAAAUCCUGUGAUCCCUGUGAGACCACCAGUGGCGAAGGCGUCUAGCUAGAACGGGUCUGACGGUGAUGAACGAAAGCUAGGGGCACGAACCGG